AAGGAUCAUUAUUGAAUAAACCUGAUGUGACUGUUAGCUGGCUUUUCGAAGCAUGUGCUCGUCCGUCAUCUUUAAUCUCUCCACCUGCACAUAUUUGUAGUCUGGGAUACCUCGCGAGGCAGCUCGGAUUUUAGGAUCGCCGUGCUGUAAAAGUCAGCUUUCCUUUCAUUUCCAAGACUAUGUUUUUAUAUACACCAAAGUAUGUUUAAAGAAUGUCAUCAAUAGGAACUUGUUUCCUAUAAAAUUAUACAACUUUCAACAACGGAUCUCUUGGCUCUCGCAUCGAUGAAGAACUCAGCGAAAUGCGAUAAGUAAUGUGAAUUGCAGAAUUCACUGAAUCAUCCAAUCUUUGAACGCACCUUGCGCUCCUUGGUAUUCCGAGGAGCAUGCCUGUUUGAGUGUCAUUAAAUUCUCAACCUUCCAGCUUUUAUUACCUUGGUUAGGCUUGGAUGUGGGGGUUGUGGGCUUCAUUAAUGAGGUCAGCUCUCCUUAAAUGCAUUACCGGAACUUUUGUGGACCGUCUAUUGAUGUGAUAAUUAUCUACGCCGUGGAUGUGAAGCAGCUUUAUGAAGUUCAGCUUCUAAUCGUCCAUUGACUUGGACAAUUUUUGACAAUUUGACCUCAAAUCAGGUAGGACUACCCGCUGAACUUAA
This 653-nucleotide ribosomal RNA is filed under the name uncultured fungus. RNAcentral describes it as "eukaryotic LSU rRNA". The stretch from base 251 to 404 matches the Rfam family "5.8S ribosomal RNA". Lineage: Eukaryota; Fungi. The record is from RNAcentral.